Molecule: ribosomal RNA, 253 nt
Filed under: uncultured bacterium
Lineage: Bacteria
Description: partial 16S ribosomal RNA
Rfam family: Bacterial small subunit ribosomal RNA
Source: RNAcentral
GACAGAGGGUGCAAACGUUGCUCGGAAUUACUGGGCGUAAAGCGCGUGUAGGCGGUCACCCCAGUCAGGUGUGAAAGCCCAAGGCUCAACCUUGGAAUUGCCUUUGAUACUGAGGGCCUUGAGACCGGAAGAGGUCGGCGGAACUGCGAGUGUAGAGGUGAAAUUCGUAGAUAUUCGCAAGAACACCGGUGGCGAAGGCGGCCAACUGGACCAUUACUGACGCUGAGGCGCGAAAGCGUGGGGAGCAAACAGG